UACGUAGGGUGCGAGCGUUGUCCGGAAUUAUUGGGCGUAAAGAGCUCGUAGGCGGUCUGUCGCGUCUGCUGUGAAAACCCGAGGCUUAACCCCGGGCGUGCAGUGGAUACGGGCAGGCUGGAGGCAGGCAGGGGAGAACGGAAUUCCCGGUGUAGCGGUGAAAUGCGCAGAUAUCGGGAGGAACACCGGUGGCGAAGGCGGUUCUCUGGGCCUGUACUGACGCUGAGGAGCGAAAGCGUGGGGAGCGAACAGG
This 253-nucleotide ribosomal RNA is filed under the name uncultured bacterium. Its description in RNAcentral is "partial 16S ribosomal RNA". It matches the Rfam family "Bacterial small subunit ribosomal RNA", at positions 524 to 776 of the family's 1533-position model. The record is from RNAcentral.